GGGCGAUUAGCUCAGCUGGGAGAGCGGCGGCCUUACAAGCCGUAGGUCACAAGUUCGAUCCUUGUAUCGCCCACCA
Molecule: transfer RNA, 76 nt
Filed under: bacterium
Lineage: Bacteria
Also listed under: 3 other names
Description: tRNA-Val
Rfam family: tRNA
About the family: Transfer RNA (tRNA) molecules are approximately 80 nucleotides in length. Their secondary structure includes four short double-helical elements and three loops (D, anti-codon, and T loops).
Source: RNAcentral